This is a long non-coding RNA of Morus notabilis, 278 nucleotides long. RefSeq lists it as uncharacterized. Lineage: Eukaryota; Viridiplantae; Streptophyta; Magnoliopsida; Rosales; Moraceae. The record is from RefSeq and is a predicted model, not a curated record. The transcript has 3 exons.
UAAAUGUUUGCUCUGAAAUUGAAGUUACAGUUGUUUUUAUAAUGUUUUUGUUAUGUUCGUUUUGUUGUUAGGUUGUGCCAAGGAGUAUGGUUUAUGUGCAAAGUGUUGUUGCUGUGUGAGCCAAACAAUUGGAAGGCUAUCAAGAAUGCUUGAGAAAGGGACGGGACGUCUCUACUUCGCACUUUGUGAAUUUUCAAGCACAAAUCCCUUCGCUCUUUGAUUCUAUUUCACUCUCACAGUCUCUCACACAUUGACUCUGAGAUCGCUUCAGCUUCUUC